CUACGCACUCCUACGGGAGGCAGCAGUGGGGAAUAUUGCACAAUGGGCGCAAAGCCUGAUGCAGCCAUGCCGCGUGUAUGAAGAAGGCCUUCGGGUUGUUAAAGGUACUUUCAGCAGUGAGGAAGGUGGGUAUGUUAAUAGCAUAUUCAUUUGACGUUAGCUGCAGAAGAAGCACCGGCUAACUCCGUGCCAGCAGCCGCGGUAAUACGGAGGGUGCGAGCGUUAAUCGGAAUUACUGGGCGUAAAGCGCAUGCAGGUGGUUUGUUAAGUCAGAUGUGAAAGCCCGGGGCUCAACCUCGGAAUUGCAUUUGAAACUGGCAAACUAGAGUACUGUAGAGGGGGUAGAAUUUCAGGUGUAGCGGUGAAAUGCGUAGAGAUCUGAAGGAAUACCGGUGGCGAAGGCGGCCCCCCUGGACAGAUACUGACACUCAGAUGCGAAAGCGUGGGGAGCAAACAGGAUUAGAUACCCUGGUAG
Molecule: ribosomal RNA, 475 nt
Filed under: uncultured bacterium
Lineage: Bacteria
Description: bacterial SSU rRNA
Rfam family: Bacterial small subunit ribosomal RNA
Source: RNAcentral